Ricinus communis (castor bean) is the source of this 792-nucleotide long non-coding RNA. RefSeq lists it as uncharacterized. The record is from RefSeq and is a predicted model, not a curated record. The transcript is spliced from 3 exons. Lineage: Eukaryota; Viridiplantae; Streptophyta; Magnoliopsida; Malpighiales; Euphorbiaceae.
CAUAUCCUCCCCCUUCUACCUCCCGUUGUCGUCGACCUCCCCUCCUCCAAUUUUUAUUUUCUACCGCCAUUGGAGUCGAGCUCCGGACAAGGGAAAUUCUCAGCGUCACCCGCACCGUAACACCUUAUCUUUCCGCCUGAAGCCGUCAAGAGCGUCGAAGGAGAAGGAAAGAAAGCUACCCUCCGCUGCCAACGUCGAACCACCUCGCUACCGACGUGUUCCAGCCAAUUCGACACUGGAAAUAGCUUUCUCGCCACCUAAAACCCUAACCUGGAUAGUUGCAGCCUCUGAUGCUGCCACUGGACCAGUGAUUGGAGUGGGUGUGGUUUUGCCGGACUUAUUCGGUUUUUGGCGAUUUUGGUGGCCUUCUGGUGGUCAUUUGGUGAAGAUAAUCGCAUAUCUAGACUCCUAACAUCUUGAUCUACAAUUUGGCAUCCUCAAAUUCCAUUUUUGCCUCCAUCGAAAAAUUCCAGGGAACGGAAUCCAGUGACCUCGUGACGCAUGCUGGCAGGCAGAAAAUUCGUCUCGGCUUCUUAAUUUAUCGGGUGCUAGUUUGCGAAUUUUAGCUCAUCUUGAUCAUCCAUCGAUUCAGCCCGCUCCACCUGAGGCAUAGGAGCAUAGCAAGGGGGUCACUAGAAUUGAUGAAAUUGUAAGUAAUUGAAAAUGUUAAGGGACCUAGUUGUAAUAAAGAAAAGUUCAGGGGCUCAAUGUCGAUAUUGAAGAAAGGAAGAAGAGAGGCGUCGGGGAGAGAGAACCAAGGCGCUGGGAAGAGAGAGAGAGAGAGAGAGAGCU